Lagopus leucura (white-tailed ptarmigan) is the source of this 619-nucleotide long non-coding RNA. RefSeq lists it as uncharacterized. The transcript has 3 exons. The record is from RefSeq and is a predicted model, not a curated record. NCBI's taxonomy places the organism in Eukaryota, Metazoa, Chordata, Aves, Galliformes, Phasianidae.
AUUCGGGAGCUCGUGGCUAAGUCUUGUCUCUGUGCACCAGAUGUACUCGUCUGUUAACACACCUCCAGGGACAGUGACCCCACCGCCUCCGUGGGCAGCCCGUGCCAACGCUUUGCAGCCCUCCGUGUGGAAAAAGUUUUCCUACUGUCCAACCGGACUCUCCCCAGGCACAAUGUGAGGCCGUAACCUUAAAAAAAAAAAAAAAAAAAAAAAGAUUCCCUUGUGGAAGGGGAAGCCGUGCACCUGCCUUGGAGCACUUUCUCGCAGGCUGUGCUGUGAGAAGAGCCGCAGUGCAGUGCGGAGGUUUCAGAAAUGUGCCCGGAGCAGAAGUUUGUACAGCUGCCAGCCCUUCCCAGUGGGUUUCCAUGCAGGAGCAAAGAAAUGGCUGCUGAGCGCUGAACUAGCAAGCGGGUGUUACUAAAGAAAGCCUGUGCAUUUUGCUUGACAUGCUCUUACUUCAGAGAAGUCAUUUGUUGGCACUGAUGAUGGGUGAGAGAGGCUACGGGAAAGCAGCCUGCUUUAUGAGGAAAUGAAAAACUCAUGCUUGGUGCAAGGUAGAGCAGGCAUUCACUCCUGGGUGUGUGUGGUUGAAUGUAAAGCUGUGGAAACACAGGAAUUG